Molecule: ribosomal RNA, 257 nt
Filed under: uncultured Leptotrichia sp.
Lineage: Bacteria; Fusobacteriati; Fusobacteriota; Fusobacteriia; Fusobacteriales; Leptotrichiaceae
Description: partial 16S ribosomal RNA
Rfam family: Bacterial small subunit ribosomal RNA
Source: RNAcentral
GGCGGACGGGUGAGUAACGCGUAAGAACUUGCCCUUUAGACUGGGAUAACAGAGGGAAACUUCUGAUAAUACUGGAUAAGUUAGUAUAUCGCAUGAUAUGCAAAUGAAAGCUACGGCACUAAAGGAGAGCUUUGCGUCCUAUUAGCUAGUUGGUAAGGUAAGAGCUUACCAAGGCGAUGAUAGGUAGCCGGCCUGAGAGGGUGGACGGCCACAAGGGGACUGAGAUACGGCCCUUACUCCUACGGGAGGCAGCAGUU